This 1313-nucleotide long non-coding RNA is filed under the name Equus caballus (horse). RNAcentral's name for it is "lncRNA (ENSECAG00000057066.1)". The record is from RNAcentral. Lineage: Eukaryota; Metazoa; Chordata; Mammalia; Perissodactyla; Equidae.
CUGUGUCUGCAACAGCUGCUGCCUGGCCAGCCCCCGUGGAUUGUAAGGCGCAGCCCCGCUCCAGGGGUGCAAAAGGAUAAAUUCCCAGAAGACUAAUCUCUGUGUCAAAGGACAGAUGAAAAGCAUUACGACUCUUACGACGUGUUGCCAAAAUGCUCUUCAAACCCGUUGUUUUUGUUUGAGCUGCCACCACCAGUAUGUGAAAAUGCAGCUAGCACGCAAGAUGGUUAAAGCUACCACAUCCACAGACAGUGCUGUGCCCUGUAUGGUUCAAGGCAUUGCCUUUGCUCCUCAAAGCUUCACAUCCUGAUUUUAUAAACAAAUAGGAGUUUUGUCUCAGAGGCAUCCUCAAUUGAUGUAUGGAGGCCUGGAGAAAGGAAAGUGUUGAAGUUCAAGUUCUUGGCCUGCUCACUUCAGUCUCAAACUUCAAAAAGUCUACGUGAAGUUUCUGAAGAAAUGGAAUUCCCUGUUAACUCAGAUACUAAAUUAUAUAAAUACUGCACCUCAGAAGACCCGAAGUGAAGUCACUUGCAAGAGCCUUGAAACCAGAAGGCCCAUCCUCACAUCACAGUGUUGGCACCUAUCCAAAAGGUACCCCACAUCCUCUCUGUGCUCCCAGGCUGCAUCCUGAAGUAUUUGCCUCAGUCCAUCUUGCUGGCCACACCCGUUCCCCACCUGGUCCUGAUUGUUCCAGGUCAUGGCCCUAGACCUGUUUCCUGCUCCUCUGACCUGAGGUCUGAUAUAGUUUCCAUCAGGCUGAUCUCUGGCUUCCUCCCUUAGCUCUACAUUUCACCUGCCCCUUUAUCACGUUGCUUCAUGGCUGCUCUAAACCAGGGUUCAGCCUCUCUCUGGUACCAGUUCUCACGCCGGAGUGCCUGCCCUCUAGGUUCACUCUGCCUCCAGGAAUGGAUCCCAGACUCACAUCACCUUUUAUCCUGUAAGAAGUUAGUUUUGAGCCACUUUAAAGAACUGCUGACAUUAAGACUUUAGAAUUUGGUUAUUUGAUCCAUCAGUAUGGAUCAUGUAGGAAGAAAGGCCACGUGUACAUGAGAAUUGACCUUCUCUGGGUGUGCACAUGCGAGAACCAGACCUCAUUCCUAUGUCAUUAAACAACAGUCAUACAUAGUAGAGCUUUGCAUCUACAGUAGUCAGUCCAAUAUUCAGAGAGAAAGUAAUUGUAAUUGGCUGAUUACAAAAGGGCAACAGAAAGAUGAUUUUAAUGACUUCACGUCAGGUGACAUGGUGUUCCAGCCAUGCUUUGUAAUGACUUUCCAGGCACCCUGUCCACUUUGGAGAAUAUGCAAGAUUUUCUG